Regulatory RNA element from Rhodobacteraceae bacterium PD-2, 49 nucleotides. It matches the Rfam family "SAM/SAH riboswitch aptamer". Lineage: Bacteria; Pseudomonadati; Pseudomonadota; Alphaproteobacteria; Rhodobacterales; Paracoccaceae. The record is from Rfam.
AAACCGUCACAACGGCUUCCUGGCGUGGCGGAUAAACCCGAAUGGAGCG